UACGUAGGGUGCAAGCGUUGUCCGGAAUUAUUGGGCGUAAAGAGCUCGUAGGCGGUUUGUCACGUCGGCUGUGAAAUCCCGAGGCUCAACCUCGGGUCUGCAGUCGAUACGGGCGGACUUGAGUACUGCAGGGGAGACUGGAAUUCCUGGUGUAGCGGUGAAAUGCGCAGAUAUCAGGAGGAACACCGGUGGCGAAGGCGGGUCUCUGGGCAGUAACUGACGCUGGAGGAGCGAAAGCGUGGGGAGCGAACAGG
This 254-nucleotide ribosomal RNA is filed under the name uncultured bacterium. Its description in RNAcentral is "partial 16S ribosomal RNA". It matches the Rfam family "Bacterial small subunit ribosomal RNA", at positions 524 to 776 of the family's 1533-position model. The record is from RNAcentral.